AGUGAACGCUGGCGGUAGGCCUAACACAUGCAAGUCGAACGGCAGCACAGUAAGAGCUUGCUCUUACGGGUGGCGAGUGGCGGACGGGUGAGGAAUACAUCGGAAUCUACUUUUUCGUGGGGGAUAACGUAGGGAAACUUACGCUAAUACCGCAUACGACCUACGGGUGAAAGCAGGGGAUCUUCGGACCUUGCGCGAUUGAAUGAGCCGAUGUCGGAUUCGCUAGUUGGCGGGUUAAAGGCCCACCAAGGCGACGAUCCGUAGCUGGUCUGAGAGGAUGAUCAGCCACACUGGAACUGAGACACGGUCCAGACUCCUACGGGAGGCAGCAGUGGGGAAUAUUGGACAAUGGGCGCAAGCCUGAUCCAGCCAUACCGCGUGGGUGAAGAAGGCCUUCGGGUUGUAAAGCCCUUUUGUUGGGAAAGAAAAGCAGCAGGUUAAUACCCCGCUGUUCUGACGGUACCCAAAGAAUAAGCACCGGCUAACUUCGUG
This 492-nucleotide ribosomal RNA is filed under the name uncultured bacterium. RNAcentral's name for it is "partial 16S ribosomal RNA". It matches the Rfam family "Bacterial small subunit ribosomal RNA", at positions 29 to 507 of the family's 1533-position model. The record is from RNAcentral.